AGCUUGUUCACAAAUCAAAUGUAUUCCUGGUGUUGUGUAUUAUGUUCAUUAUUUUAUAAUAUCAUAUAAUAUUGUUUUAUAUUUUUAUUAGGUGCAAUUCAAAACAAAUUUCCUAUUACUACAAAAGCUGGUAUCAUAGAAUUCAUAAGCCCAUGUAUGGCUCAAAGCGAAACCAGAAUUAAAAGGUGCAAUUCAAAACAAAUUUCCUAUUACUACA
Acyrthosiphon pisum (pea aphid) is the source of this 217-nucleotide long non-coding RNA. RefSeq lists it as uncharacterized. The transcript is spliced from 2 exons. NCBI's taxonomy places the organism in Eukaryota, Metazoa, Arthropoda, Insecta, Hemiptera, Aphididae. The record is from RefSeq and is a predicted model, not a curated record.